AGAGUUUGAUCAUGGCUCAGAACGAACGCUGGCGGCGUGGAUAAGACAUGCAAGUCGAGCGAGAUUUUUUCCUGUAGCAAUACAGGGAAAAGUCUAGCGGCGAACGGGUGCGUAACACGUGGGCAACCUGCCAAGAAGUGGGGGAUAGCUCGCCGAAAGGCGAAUUAAUACCGCAUGUGAUCAGAGUGGACAUCCAUUCAAAAUCAAAGUCGGGGCAACCUGACGCUUCUUGAGGGGCCCGCGGCCUAUCAGCUAGUUGGUGAGGUAACGGCCCACCAAGACUUAGACGGGUAGCUGGUCUGAGAGGACGACCAGCCACACUGGGACUGAGACACGGCCCAGACACCUACGGGUGGCAGCAGUCGAGAAUUUUUCUCAAUGGGGGAAACCCUGAAGGAGCGACGCCGCGUGGAGGAUGAAGGUCUUCGGGUUGUAAACUCCUGUCAUUUGGGAACAAUGCGCAAAUAUUAACUGUAUUUGCGUUGAUAGUACCAGAAGAGGAAGGGACGGCUAACUCUGUGCCAGCAGCCGCGGUAAUACAGAGGUCCCAAGCGUUGUUCGGAUUCAUUGGGCGUAAAGGGUGCGUAGGCGGCGCGGUAAGUCGGGUGUGAAUCUCGGGGCUUAACUCCGAAACUGCAUUCGAUACUGCCGUGCUUGAGGACUGGAGAGGAGACUGGAAUUUACGGUGUAGCGGUGAAAUGCGUAGAUAUCGUAAGGAAGACCAGUGGCGAAAGGCGGGUCUCUGGACAGUUCCUGACGCUGAGGCACGAAAGGCCAGGGGAGCAAACGGGAUUAGAUACCCCGGUAGUCCUGGCAGUAAACGGUGCACGUUUGGUGUGGGAGGAUUCGACCCCUUCUGCGCCGGAGCUAACGCGUUAAACGUGCCGCCUGGGGAGUACGGUCGCAAGAUUAAAACUCAAAGAAAUUGACGGGGCCCGCACAAGCGUG
This 948-nucleotide ribosomal RNA is filed under the name uncultured bacterium. RNAcentral describes it as "bacterial SSU rRNA". It matches the Rfam family "Bacterial small subunit ribosomal RNA", at positions 8 to 933 of the family's 1533-position model. The record is from RNAcentral.